This 849-nucleotide long non-coding RNA is filed under the name Sus scrofa (pig). Its description in RNAcentral is "lncRNA (ENSSSCG00070006275.1)". The stretch from base 658 to 749 matches the Rfam family "Small nucleolar RNA SNORD116". The record is from RNAcentral. Lineage: Eukaryota; Metazoa; Chordata; Mammalia; Artiodactyla; Suidae.
CCCUCACCCAGCUGCUGCGGCGGAGAGACGGAGGCCAGCGCGGGGAGCGGAAGCCGGAGCCUGUCGGGAGCGACCCCGGGAAGGCCAGUCCCUCCUGCCGGAGGGAGGCGUGUUGGCGUGCGGCCGGUGGCGGGAUCGAUGGCCACCUGGUAGGCGAUGCUGCUGCGGCGGAGAGACGGAGGCCAGCGCGGGGAGCGGAAGCCGGAGCCUGUCGGGAGCGACCCCGGAAGGCCAGUCCCUCCUGCCGGAGGGAGGCGUGUUGGCGUGCGGCCGGUGGCGGGAUCGAUGGCCACCUGGUAGGCGAUGCUGCUGCGGCGGAGAGACGGAGGCCAGCGCGGGGAGCGGAAGCCGGAGCCUGUCGGGAGCGACCCCGGGAAGGCCAGUCCCUCCUGCCGGAGGGAGGCGUGUUGGCGUGCGGCCGGUGGCGGGAUCGAUGGCCACCUGGUAGGCGAUGGUAAGCGGCAGUGGCCUGCGCCAAGGUAGCCCCCGGGGGCGGUGUGUGGCGCCCGGACCCGCACCCUCUGCUCCCGGGGGUGGAGCUGACCUGCUUGCCCGCGGUUGGGCUCGGGAGCCUGCGGGCCGCGGCCAGGAGGGAGCUGGCUGGCCGUCCCGGCGGUGGGGCUUGUGGCGGUGGCGUCCCGCGGUGUGCCCGUGCUCGGAUCGAUGAUGACACCCACAAACGCAUUCCUUGAAAAUCUGAACAAAAUGAGUGAGAACUCACUACCGUCUCCUCAUCGCAAACUGAGUCCGGCACGUGGCUCCCACAGGGGACGUCGGGGAGGGUCCCGUUGCUUGCUCCCUUGGGUGCGUGCAGCCCUGGGGCGCAGGUGGGCAGGCAGGCCUACGGUG